This 5558-nucleotide long non-coding RNA is filed under the name Pelobates cultripes (western spadefoot toad). Lineage: Eukaryota; Metazoa; Chordata; Amphibia; Anura; Pelobatidae. The record is from RNAcentral.
CCGAUACCCAAGCUAUGUACUCACAGGUGCGGGUAUUAUAAGUCAUAAGUGGUGUCAACCUUGAGGGGAUGACAUGUCUAACACGAUCGCGGCCCCCACUCAGGUUUUCCCCAGAUGUGCUUUUUCCUCAAAUAUGAGUUUUUGCCUCUGGGUUUUUUGCCUGGCCCAGAUCAUCAGGUGGACUGGUAAUCCUAGACCCCGGUCCUUGGACGGGGGAUAGGUAUUAUUCCCACUUUGACUAUAUGCACCCACUUCCGUUGACGAAGGAGGAAAACAACUGUUGGGAAUAAUAUACUUUGCCCAUAUUUACCUAGGGCUUAUGAUACAGAUGACCGGCUGGUUAGUCUGUUUAAAAUUGGUUAACAUGUCAGCUAUUUGCAAUAAUAUAUUUGCUAUAAACCCAAGUUUAGAUUAAAUGAUGCUGUCUCAGUAUACCCUGGUAAUUAUACUUGUUUUCAGGGAAAUAAUUCUGGUAAGUGGGGUAAGCAAUUUGAUAACUUCUCUUCAGGAUUCUGCUCCGCCUACAGUAAUAUUACCUUAGUGAAUCAAACACAAUCUGUUGGAGAUGUUUAUUGGAUAUGUGGAGAUAUGAAAAUAUGUUCUAGACUCCCCACCCCCUGGAGAGGAGAAUGUGACCCAGCCAAAAUAAUCAUGCCCCUCCAUAUAUUUGGUGACUCUCUCCCUGAAAUUAAGGUUGUAACUAAUUCCACAAGAAGGAAAAGGGAAACCCCACAAGGUAGUUUGGACCCACAUAUAUAUCUAGAUGCCAUUGGUAUUCCAAGAGGGGUCCCUAAUGAAUUUAAAUAGUUAAAUAAUAGAGAUGAGGUGGCAGCAGGAUUUGAAUCAAUUUUUCCCAUUAUAACAGCUAACAAGAAUGUUAACUGGAUUAAUUAUAUAUAUUAUAAUCAGCAAAGAUUUGUAAAUUACACACAAGAUGCAUUACAAGGUCUUUCUGAACAAUUACAGACUACCUCACAAAUGACUUUCCAGAAUAGAAUGGCCCUUGAUAUGAUUUUAGCAGAAAAGGGAGGAGUCUGUAAAUUACUUGACUCCGGUGUUUGUUGUACCUAUAUUCCAGAGAACACUGGCCCAAAUUUUAAAGUAACCCUAGCUAUAAAGAAAUUGGAAGACCUGUCCAUAGAAAUGAAGAGGAAUUCAGGUAUUGAUCACCCAUGGGCAGAUUGGUUUAAGUUUGACAGUAUCCUAGACUGGCUAAAGAAUAUUGGAAUAAUUAUUGUUAUGGAUCUGGUCCUUGCUCUACUUGUCUAUGCUAUUUUUAAGAUUAUUGUAUUCUGUAUUUACAAACAUACACACAACACUAUUCCUGCAAAAUCCCCAGCUUGCUAUGAUGAAUAUCUCCAAAUGUAUACACAUAUAACUGCAAUGGUAAACAUGCUGAUACAUAUCUAUAAGUAUAUGGUACUGGUCGAAUGCCUAGUCCUUUGCUAUGGGAAUAAUGGCCAAAGACAUAAUGAAAGACCUGCAGGAUUGGCUAGCAAUCCUGAAUAUACCAUGGCAGAUGGCUAGUUGUCUGACCAGGACUCCUUAAUAGGGUAUGAGCAAAAUAUUGCUCAAAGAGGUGGAAUGAAAGAAAUUGAAACAGUUAAUCGGUUAGUAUUCUAUUAGUUGAAUUAUUUUGCAAAUAUAGUAGCAAGCUCUUUUGCAGAACCACUUACAAAACAUAACUGAAAGGAAGUCACAAGCUAUAACAGUUUCUAUGUAACAGGAUGCGCUUAGCCACUAUGUAUAUGUGAUAUUUUGUAAGAAUAGAUUAUUGCACGUAACAGCAGUAACUAUUUCCUUGGUAUGCAUUUUUUGUAACCAAUGUUCGUGACAAACACUGUAUAAAUACAAAGCAUUUGAAUACAUUGUCAGAAGACUUUUGGAAAGCAACUUGUGUGUGUCUCGUUAUUACGCUUCCAUAAUUCUUCCCUGAAUAUUCAGUAGACAAUCGAGGGUUGGAGAACAGUGAGGGAUCGAGUCACCAGAGUAGCAGAUUUAUCUUUCAGUUAGCAGAAACGAGGGGUUCCAAGUCAUUUCCAAGUAGUACAUCUGCUGGUAAAUCCUUCAUUAGUCCUACGUUCACAUGUCCCGAACCAACCCCCCAAUCCAGGUGAACACGGGCAACGGGUAGCCGAAAAACGGUGCCUCCAGCCACCCUUACGGCUACAGUGUCUCCAGUGUGUUGAUUCUCAGAGACUAGGUUUUUCUGUAGCAGGGUCAUGGUGGCGUCAGUAUCCCUUAAACCAGUUGCUGCCUUCUCAUUAACCCGGACGGCCUGUUGGUGCUGCUGUCUGUUGUCCCGGUUAGCAGCUUGCACUGGGUCAGCCUUGUGCAGGAUAGCCCAACACUCCUCUUCUUCAAUGCAGUUGGCAGUUGGUACUGCUGGGCAGGGGUUCCCCCCGGCUGGUUUCCUCCAGGAUUGAGACUGCCUGGCUGGGUUCAACGGGCAGUCCUCCUUUCGGUGCCCAAUCUGGUCACAACCGAAACACCUCACGGGCUGGGAAUAAUUGCGGGCAUUAAAUUUCGGUGGCUGGGAAUAAUUGGAAGCCGGGGCGGGUGCUGUGUGCCGGUAGGACUGUGGUGGUGGUGGAGGAGCCGCUGUGGUAGAUGCCACUGGUCGGUAGUCCAUACAAGCUGCUGUUUUGGCCACCUGGUUGUCUAGCUUGUGGCCAUCAGUAUACUCAUCCGCCAAGCGAGCUGCUUUGGGUAGGGUGAGGGGUUUCCUGUCACGGACACACUUUCUGACCCCUGUGGUCAGCCUCUUGUAGAAGUGUUCCAGCAGGAACAAUUGUAGUUCUUCUUCCCCGGAUACCGCCUGGCAUCCAGCGACCCAGUGGGCUGCCGUGUAUACGGCAUGCCCACUUGGUGUAUGAAUCUCCGCUUUGUUUGUUAGUGUCCUGAAACCUCCUCCGGUAUGCUUCUGGGGUAAGAACAUACCUCGCCAAGAGGGCUCUUUCACUAAGCCAUAAUCUGUAUCUUCCUCGCCUGGGAUGGCUUGGAAGGCUUCGCUUGCACAGUCUGAUAACUUUCCAGAUAAGAUGGUAACCCAUUCAUCUGCGGGUUCCUGGUGUAGGGCACAUUGCCUUUCGAAAUCAACCAGGUAUCCAUCAAUCUCCCCAUCAGCUUCCACAAAGAUUUAAACGCAGCGAAAUGUACCUUUUUCUUUCCAUGUGUAGCUGGUAUUUCUGCUACUGCAGCACCUCUUUGUUGCAGGAGCAGUCGGUUCGCUUCCACAGCUGUUAUGACACGCUCAAUGAUGUCUGGUGUAGGGUUGGGGCCAAAAUGCGCCAGCCUUAUGUUGACCGCCCAGUCAAAGCUCGCCUCGUCGGUUGUUCAGUCAGUAAUUCGGCUCUAUCCAUAUCCAGCAGCUCUGUAAUGAUGUCCCUUUUCUUUUGGUUACUAGCUGGUCGACCUCUAGGGUAGAGCGUUUUAAUUGCUCGUAAUACGUUUUCAUCGGCUUGUGUCUUUGUAGCUGUCCUUCUGGGCUGUAGGAACCAUUCCGUCACUUGCUACCAGUUGUUACGGCACCCCAGGUAUAGAAGGGAUUAAAACCGUUUAAUAAGCUUCUUUUCUGUAUACCCUGACAGCUACCAAUCACUCCAACCAGCCGAACAGGAAUCAUAUGAACAUCCACACCUUAAACAGCCGAACGAGAAUAACCAUACGAAUAAUCCCCCCAAGUACAAGACCAAGCUCAGUAUUGAGGGUCAGCAGGAAUCUGGUUUAAUGGGGCUACCUGCCCGGUAUUUAUGCGGGUCUUCCACUAGGUGGACACUCCCCUGGUGGAAAACUGGUACAGAACAUUACAGUAACCAAUCAGAGCAUUGCAGAGAUAAACACAGGCAUAUUGUAAACCCUCCCCUCUAUCCCGGAGAUAAUUGGGAAGUAACUCAAUUAUCUCCCAGGAUAGAGGCUAAGACUCCAUUUUACACGUGGUACUGAAAACACGCAAAAAUAUAUAAUAUACAAAAACUACCGACCAGAAUAUGAGCAUUCAACACUUCCCCAGAUAGCUGAGAUCUGAGCGCACAUUAUUACCGAAUAGGGCUCAGAUCCCAUACACACAGUUCAAUCGCCAUGGAGCCAAAGUCUUUCACAUAGUCUUUUGUUAUACGAAUGGGCUCCAUGGCAUGGCUAUCUGGGGUAAGUCCAUUUGUGCAGAAAAGUACCGAACAGGCCGCGUUCAUAUGCUGGAUGAACAGAAGAAGGGAGGUCGGCAGCUGCAGCGGUGUUCGUGAGAAGGAGUGUCCAUUUUUAGUUGCAUGAAAUUGUCGACGAACACCGCUGGGCAUUCGUACGUCCAAGAUGGCCGCUGCCUUGUGGUCAGCAUACGAAUGACGACCACCCAGUCAGCAUUCGACAAUUAGGAAGUGUCUGCGGUUAACCCCAAUGUUCUGAUGAGGCCAAGAGGUUAACAAGCAGCACACUUCCAUGCUGGGUAGCCGGCUGUUUGGCAGUUGUUCGGUAAAAUGAAGAAAUAAACAUGGGGGCUGUACGGGCAGGAAACAGCCGAACAAACAGACAAAUUAGGGAAAUAUAAAAGUAAUUCGCAUAAAGAGGGUUCUGUCACAGACUCCUUGAUGUCUUCCAGGAUAUUGCCUGUGUAUACCUGGAUGACAUAGCGAUCCACAUUGAGUCCUGGGAGGAACACUUAGCUCAUGUAGGAAUGGUCCUGGAUCAAAAUCGGGCUGGCCUGACCCUGAAGCCAGAGAAAUGCCAUUUUGGAAUGGCUGAGGUUCAGUACCUGGGUCACCGGGUGGGGUGUGGAAAGCAGAGGCCAGAACCAGCCGAGAUAGAGGUGGUUGCAAAUUGGCCAACACCUCACACCAAGACCGAGGUCCUAGCCUUCCUCAGCACUGCUGGGAACUACAGGUGAUUUAUACCAGACUACAAUAGUAUUGCCAAACCCAAGACAGACCUGAGAAAGAAAAAUCUUCCCCGACAGGUCCUGUGGUCUCCCCACUGUGAGGCAGACUUUCAGGCUCUCAAAAAUGCACUGGUUAAUGCUCCUGUCUUGGCUGCCCCAGCCUCUAACAAACGCUUUCUCGUCCACACAGACACUUCCAUGUUCGGGCUGCGGGCAGUCCUCAGCCAAAUAGGAGAAGACAGAGGGGAGCAUCCUGUUGCCUACAUCAGCCGAAAUCUCCUGCAACGAGAGGUCGGCUAUGCUGCAGUAGAAAAGGAAACUUUGGCCCUGGUGUGGGCGUUAAAAGAAACUGACUCCCUACCUGCAUGGACAAGAGUUCACUCUGGUUACAGACCAUAACCCGUUGGUGUAGCUAAACUGGGUCUCAGUAGAUAAUGGCAGACUGUUACGAUGGAGCCUAUCCCUACAGCAAUUCAAUUUCACCAUCGCUUACAGACCCGGGAUACAGAAUGGCAAUUCUGACGGGUAAUCAAGACAGACAGACCUCAGUCCAGAAUAGCCCAGUUCUGGACAGCCUUAGUCUGCCCAGAAAAGGGGUCAGACCGUGUCUGCCAGAGUGUUCCACAAGGAGGGAGCCAUGUUACAGAGAUCCCCUCUGUCUACUACAACACAGAUACUUGUGUUGCUA